UCGUUCCCCAAGCAACAAGUUCGACGAUGCAAUCUCCGAGUCUUGGAACGUCAAUCUCGAUGAUUGCAACACGGCCAUGUCGUUCAACGACGAAGACCUGAAACGUCUUGGAAUCGAAAAAUCGAAGAAGAUGAAGAAGAAGGAGCAGGAAGAGAUGUAGUAGUAGUAGUAGUAGUAGAUAAUUUGUUGAUUGAAAAAGAAUGAAUGAACUGCUUGGGGGUUU
This 223-nucleotide unclassified non-coding RNA is filed under the name Caenorhabditis elegans. Its description in RNAcentral is "Non-coding transcript of protein-coding gene pei-2". The record is from RNAcentral. Lineage: Eukaryota; Metazoa; Nematoda; Chromadorea; Rhabditida; Rhabditidae.